This is a non-coding RNA of Rattus norvegicus (Norway rat), 646 nucleotides long. The record is from RefSeq and is a predicted model, not a curated record. NCBI's taxonomy places the organism in Eukaryota, Metazoa, Chordata, Mammalia, Rodentia, Muridae.
GCCAAGACAGCGUGGCUGUGCAGUGGACAGACAGGAGGACAGCUGGAAGACAAGAGAAACAUUGUCAAAGAGUCUGUGUGUGAGCAGGGAGCUUACGCCCUGUUUUAUAGGGCUUGAGGGCAGAGAAUGAGAUAAUACAAGUUACUUUCAUAAAGAAUACCUUUCCUUUCUUAGAGGAAAAUAACUUUAAUCGGAACGACACAGACAUGAAGAGAGCAGUUGGGAGCCAGAGGCGACCAAGAGCAAUCAGUCAAUAUUAGACCUUAUAAACUGCGAAGUACCUCAUUUAUGACUUCAUUCGAGGGUACAAGUUUGGCUUCAUUUUGAUAUCUGAGCUUCUGACAUUGAGGGCACGCUGCUGUGGCAGAGAAUGGAGUGGCAGGGAGCAGAAACGUCAAAAGCUCUGAACAGGGAACAGGAACAAGAGGAAAUGACUUGGUGAUACAGAAGACACUUGUGUGGCAAAUAUCUCCAAAGCAUAUACUAAGAUUACUUAGGGAAUCUCAUAUACCUGUGAUGGUUUGGCUUGGUUGGGGCAGUUUGUUCUGGGCCAGGGCUUUGAGCAUGUGAGGCAAAAAAAUCCUACCUCUGAGCUACUUUGGAGAGUCUCGAUAUGUGACAUUAAAAAUAGGUCUGACUCUCCAAA